AACGACUAUAAUAUAAUAUACGCGUGGCGUGGAAGUAUUUUAUUCAAAGGAAUGAACCGACUAGGGAAGUUUUGGAGUGACCUGUUCCUGGUAAACAGCCACUUGCGUUAAUCGACCAGAGUACAUUCCGGUAAAGUUUAAAGGCACUCUUGCACUAUAGCAGAAACUCUUGAUUACAGCUAAUAAUAUAUUAAUGCCCGGUGGACAUGGAUCAAGCGUGGAUUAUCGCACUGAUACUAUUGAGAACUGGUCCACAUAUUAUUAUCAUCAUCCAUAUUUUGAUCCAAAAUGUUCUCAGCCUUCUUGCUUUAUUCACAUAAAAGGUAUAUCAUUCAAGAAUGCCCAAAAUGUCAAAACAUACAAAAUACCUAAUUCAUACCAGACAACCUAGAAGAAGUUCUCGAUGAAGACUGCAGCAGCACAAAAAUCCUAAGUUUUCUAGGCAAAAUUAAAAUUGUUAAAAUCGUUUGAUCAUAAAAUUAACCUAUACAUACCUACAUGUAAACAUUUUAUAUUUUAUAUUUAAAUUUUACAUAAUUUACC
Long non-coding RNA from Acyrthosiphon pisum (pea aphid), 543 nucleotides. RefSeq lists it as uncharacterized. The record is from RefSeq and is a predicted model, not a curated record. Lineage: Eukaryota; Metazoa; Arthropoda; Insecta; Hemiptera; Aphididae. The transcript is spliced from 3 exons.